This 250-nucleotide ribosomal RNA is filed under the name uncultured Thermoleophilia bacterium. RNAcentral's name for it is "partial 16S ribosomal RNA". It matches the Rfam family "Bacterial small subunit ribosomal RNA", at positions 524 to 773 of the family's 1533-position model. The record is from RNAcentral. Lineage: Bacteria; Bacillati; Actinomycetota; Thermoleophilia.
UACGUAGGGGGCAAGCGUUGUCCGGAUUUAUUGGGCGUAAAGAGCGUGUAGGCGGCCAGAUAGGUCAGCUGUGAAAACUCGAGGCUCAACCUCGAGAUGUCGGCUGAAACCAUCUGGCUAGAGUCCGGAAGAGGAGAAUGGAAUUCCCGGUGUAGCGGUGAAAUGCGCAGAUAUCGGGAAGAACACCCGUGGCGAAGGCGGUUCUCUGGGACGGUACUGACGCUGAGACGCGAAAGCGUGGGGAGCGAAC